UGGGAGAGGUCCCCAGGUGGCAAUGG
RNAcentral lists this microRNA (26 nucleotides) under Ornithorhynchus anatinus (platypus). RNAcentral describes it as "Oan-Mir-1350_5p* (star (passenger))". The record is from RNAcentral. Lineage: Eukaryota; Metazoa; Chordata; Mammalia; Monotremata; Ornithorhynchidae.